UCUCCCGUAAGUGAACCUGCGGAGGGACAUUA
RNAcentral lists this ribosomal RNA (32 nucleotides) under Phytophthora drechsleri. Its description in RNAcentral is "partial 18S ribosomal RNA". The record is from RNAcentral. Lineage: Eukaryota; Oomycota; Peronosporomycetes; Peronosporales; Peronosporaceae.